Vicugna pacos (alpaca) is the source of this 589-nucleotide non-coding RNA. The record is from RefSeq and is a predicted model, not a curated record. NCBI's taxonomy places the organism in Eukaryota, Metazoa, Chordata, Mammalia, Artiodactyla, Camelidae.
UUCUGAUUUUGUUCUGCAUUCAUAUAAGUAGGUAAUAGCCCUUUUCCACCAUAAGGGACAAUUCCUUUUUUAUGCUUUAAGAAUUAUGGAAUCCCUUCUUAUCCUCUCCUUCUGAAGGUUAAGUAAAUUCAAUUUCUUUCCAGUGACUCAUAUUUUCUCAUCCUUUAGUCAUUUUUACUACUUUCUUCCAUUUAAGCUCUCCAAUCUUAUUUUAGUUUGGAAAGAAUAAUACAAAUUUCCAAUAAUGUUGACACCAAAUUCAAAAAGCACUUACCAAAACCUGUCCUCCCAAAUGGUUACCUGGAGCCCCCAGUCGUGAUGUAGGCCCCUACCAAUGUCCUAAGCAUCACACGUCACUCCAGAUAAGGUUUCAGAGGAAUCCAGAUGCUACUAACUGCACUAAGCUCUGAAGAGCUGCUCUAACACAUGGAUGGUAGAAGAAAGAGCAGCAACAAAGAAGCCUGCAGGAAGUGUCAGUUUUGUGUGUGUAGUAUAGUUAAGAGCUAGGUAAAAUUGACCAUCCUAAGCAUGACCAUUAUGGUCUGACAGUAAGACAUCCUCCUCAGCAAAAAUAGCUCGGAAAAGCACA